AGGCAGCAGUAGGGAAUAUUGGACAAUGGAGGCAACUAUGACCCAGCCAUGCCGCGUGCAGGAUGAAGGCGUUAUGCGUUGUAAACUGCUUUUAUAUAGGAAGAAAUAUACCUUGCGAGGUAGGUUGACGGUACUAUAUGAAUAAGCACCGGCUAACUCCGUGCCAGCAGCCGCGGUAAUACGGAGGGUGCAAGCGUUGUCCGGAUUUAUUGGGUUUAAAGGGUGCGUAGGCGGUUUAUUAAGUCAGUGGUGAAAGACGGUCGCUCAACGAUUGCAGUGCCAUUGAUACUGGUAGGCUUGAGUGAGAUUGAGGUAGCUGGAAUGGAUAGUGUAGCGGUGAAAUGCAUAGAUAUUAUCCAGAACACCAAUUGCGUAGGCAAGUUACUAAGUCUCAACUGACGCUGAGGCACGAAAGUGUGGGUAUCAAACAGGAUUAGAUACCCUGGUAGUCCACUCUGUAAACGAUGAUAACUAACUGUUGGCUUUCGGGUCAGUGGACAGCGAAAUCGUAAGUA
Molecule: ribosomal RNA, 515 nt
Filed under: uncultured Flectobacillus sp.
Lineage: Bacteria; Pseudomonadati; Bacteroidota; Cytophagia; Cytophagales; Flectobacillaceae
Description: bacterial SSU rRNA
Rfam family: Bacterial small subunit ribosomal RNA
Source: RNAcentral